CCCCCCCCUUUUUUUUCAGAGGGUUGCGAACCCGCGAGGGGAUGAGGCCUGGUCUUGUGGAAACUGAACUUAGCUUCGCGGGCCGACAGCUCUGGCCUAGGGUAGUGUGUAAU
Molecule: non-coding RNA, 113 nt
Organism: Canis lupus familiaris (dog)
Lineage: Eukaryota; Metazoa; Chordata; Mammalia; Carnivora; Canidae
Source: Rfam